This 738-nucleotide long non-coding RNA is filed under the name Nicotiana benthamiana. RNAcentral describes it as "long non-coding RNA (NBEN_LNC003793)". The record is from RNAcentral. Lineage: Eukaryota; Viridiplantae; Streptophyta; Magnoliopsida; Solanales; Solanaceae.
GGGGGGGGGGGGUGUUGAGAUGAAAGAGCUUACAUGAUUGUACACACUGUAUAUACAAUGUAUAUUUAUUUUAUUCUCUAGUAUACAUUGUACGGGCUAUGAUGAUUAAUUUGUUAUUUGAGCCAAAUGUGUGUCUGAGCCCAAAUGUAUCUGAGCCCCAUUUACUUUCGGUCAUUGGGCCGCCUGACCCGACCCAUAGCUAGGUGUAUAUAUAGCUGUAUCUCAGAUAUUUUUAGACACGGAUUUCAUUUCACUCUCUUUUCUGAUUAAUAAUACUCUCUUUCUUCCAGAGACUUCUCUCAGACGCUCCUCCUUCUCUCUAGAUUCUCUCACUACAUUUUCCAUGACUCUUCGGUUUAAUCUCAAAGUUUUCAUGGUAUACAUUGUAUAUACAGUAUGUACAAUCAUGUAAGCUCUUUCAUCUCAACAGAAAGAGUGAUAUAUUUAUCAUAAUUAGAUUUUCUUCUUUGUAGAAGGAAAUUAUAAAUCUUCCAUAUUUGACUAGUUCCUUUUCUUGUAGGAAAAGGUGUGUACUUCUAUAAAUUGAAGAUCCUUUCUUCUCAUUCAGUAGCAUUCACAAUGUAGUCAUAGGAGGCUUGAGAGUAGUAUUUAGGGGAAGAACUUUACGGGACAAGUGUUAGUGUGUUAUUUGUGUUUGCCUCCUCGUGUGGUUGUUUUCUCGAUAUUUUGUACUCUUUGUUAUUAUAAUGGAUUGUUCAUCUCCGUCGUGAAUGUAGG